RNAcentral lists this ribosomal RNA (445 nucleotides) under uncultured bacterium. RNAcentral describes it as "partial 16S ribosomal RNA". It matches the Rfam family "Bacterial small subunit ribosomal RNA", at positions 354 to 796 of the family's 1533-position model. The record is from RNAcentral.
GUGAGGAAUAUUGGUCAAUGGACGCGAGUCUGAACCAGCCAAGUAGCGUGAAGGAUGACUGCCCUAUGGGUUGUAAACUUCUUUUAUAAGGGAAUAAAGUGAGGGACGUGUCCCUUUUUGUAUGUACCUUAUGAAUAAGGAUCGGCUAACUCCGUGCCAGCAGCCGCGAUAAUACGGAGGAUCCAAGCGUUAUCCGGAUUUAUUGGGUUUAAAGGGAGCGUAGGUUGACAUAUAAGUCAGCUGUGAAAGUUUACGGCUCAACCGUGAAAUUGCAGUUGAUACUGUAUGUCUUGAGUGUACAAGAGGUGGGCGGAAUUCGUGGUGUAGCGGUGAAAUGCUUAGAUAUCACGAAGAACUCCAAUUGCGAAGGCAGCUCACUGGGGUACAACUGACACUGAGGCUCGAAAGUGUGGGUAUCAAACAGGAUUAGAAACCCCUGUAGUCC